AUUAUGGUCCUGUGUUUGUUAAAUGUUGAACUGAAUAAUGUCGAUAUGGUGACAAUAGCAAGCGUUUAUAUGUAAGCAGAUGGGUUUAUCGUUAAUAUAUACAAUUAUAUGACGUGAUGUCACGGCUGAGCCGCGAAAAUUAACGAGAACGGCUUUUCUACCCGUGAGGAAAAAUCAGAACUAAAUAGUUAAGUUUUAUCCUGAACUUGUAUCAUUGCAGCAUGUAUAGUUCUAACACAAUUUGAAUCUAACGUGAAGAACGAUGACAUGUAACCAAUGACAAAGUUAAGAGGCGUGACUUGCUGGAGGUGCCCCGGCUGCGAUGUGAAGACAGUAAUUAAACCCCGCAGCAUCCACAAAAGACAGCGGUUGUUUCAAGCGUGGAGUAUAUCGAUUCUGUUGUUGAGCGGAUUUGAACACCGACCGUGUUUGGUAAACAAAUUUUUGGACCUCCAAAUCUUGUUCAAGUGACCGGCAUCUGCGUCAGUUGGACUGGGAGGUCAGACUGUGAUCUUACACAACCUGAGCAGAUACUUUGUAUUGAGGACAGCCGGGGUGAUGAUACAAAGUACAUUACCACAAUGGGGUCAGUUACGGACACCCUUCCUUGUGGCUGCACAGCGUGAGGGGAUUUUUGUUUUCUUUCAGGCUUGAAAGCUGAAGAUAUUUGAAAUUUCUUCAAGAUUUUUUUGUGACAGCUGACAAGCACUUCAUGGUUGACUUCAAAGUGCACUACUACGUUCUCACUGACCGUCCCGGCGAUGUUCCCUUGAAACCGGGAAGAUUCCAGAGAGUGAUUCCGGUCCCAACUGUAAACCGCUGGCAAGAGAUAUCAGCCAGGAGGAUGGGGUACAUCAACGACGUCAUCGUCCAUAAUAUCAGCCAGGAGGCGGACUACCUUUUCUGCCUCGACGUAGACAGCAAGUUCCAUGCUUGCUUUGGGGCUUGAGUCAUUUGGAGAUCUGGUUGCUUUCAUUCACCCAGGCUACUAUUAGAAAACCCAUCGCGACCACUUCCCUUACAAACGGCGUCCGGCCUCGAAAGCCUACAUUCCCAUGGGUCAGGGAGACUUCUAUUAGAGCAGGGCCCUGUUCGGAAGCCAUGUGGACAAUGUGCUCGAGCUGACUGCGGUGUUUCACGAGUGAUUUCAGGAGGAUGAAAAGAAAAACAUUGAGGCGGUUUGGCAGGAGGAGAGACACCUGAAUUGGUACCUGCUCUACCACAAGCCCAGCAAGGUGUUGGCUUCAGAGUACCUCUGGCAGGACUUGAAGGUCAGAACCAAAGAGAUCAAAGUUGUUUGAUUCUCUGGAGUCAUUAAAAACUAUGCAGAUGUUCAUCCCAAUGUAUAGGGCCACAAUAUUUAAGGGUUCUCCGAUAGGAGAAACCCUAUUGUUAUUGUUUUUAUUAUUAUAAUUGGCGCCUAAAAUACUUAACUGAAAACGUCCAUGAUGAAAAAUGCUCUAAACAUGCAUACUGUAAAAAUAGUCAAUGUGUAACUACCAUACAGACCCCCGUACCAAUCCCUCCACCAGGGGCACUAUAGAACUCGAUUGAAUUUACUAAUUUCAAAAUGAUGCCAUUUCCACCCUGUUUGUCCUACAGUGCAGAUUCUUUUUUUGUACAUGCCUCGUUUCUCAUGACGAACAAAAAAGCCUCAAGAACCCACAAAGUCCACCAUGAUGGAUUUUUCUGUACAAUGAAAAUUUGUCCAAAACUACAAAAAUCUUCUCAUGAACCAUGAAUCCAAUUGACUUGUCCUUUAGCAAACUGGUGUCUGAUACAUGCCUCCCUUAAAUCUCUUCAGGAAUAAGAGAACUUGCAAAAUGGCUGACUACUGUACAAUAUAUGUAUGCACAAUGUGCAUGUGUGCAAUUCUUUAUUGGAACAAUAACCUAUGCACUUCAUAUUCAUUGUGCAUCCAGACACCACCCCCAUAUAAGACCAUGUGCAUUUGUUGGUUGAUAUCUCAAAAGACGACAAAAUGGCAGCUGACAGAAUUUUGUCAAUUUUCAACACAAACUAAUGACAAUGAUAAUAAAUGCCUUCAAAACAAUUUUUCUCCUAAACCGUACAUCAUAUUUACUCGCCAGUAUAUUUCCAGACCCGAGGACAUACUUCUGUCAAUGAAACUAGUUGCUAUGUCAAACAUUUACUGAACUAGGACUUCAUAAAGUUAACCCUUUAUGCAAGCUCUAAUGACUACUAUUAACUAUUAGGCUGUAUCUUUUGAACCAUUUGAGCUACAGACCAGACACCAACUUUCUUUCACCAGUUUAGCUAUCCUCACUUCAAAUUAGGAAAGGUUUAUCGAUUUUCUGUAUGCUAAUUAGCGUAAUCAGUGUAAAUUAACUACUAGGCUGUAUCUUUUUAACCGUUCGAGCUACAGACACUAGACCUGUCAGUGGUAACACUUAACCCUGUAAAGCCUGACACAUCAAAUAGUAGCCUGAAAAAUGGAAGGGUUAAAUGGACC
This is a long non-coding RNA of Esox lucius (northern pike), 2473 nucleotides long. NCBI's taxonomy places the organism in Eukaryota, Metazoa, Chordata, Actinopteri, Esociformes, Esocidae. The record is from Ensembl.